AUUGAACGCUGGCGGCAUGCUUUACACAUGCAAGUCGAACGGUAACAGGCCGCAAGGUGCUGACGAGUGGCGAACGGGUGAGUAAUGCAUCGGAACGUCCCCAGUCGUGGGGGAUAACUACUCGAAAGAGUAGCUAAUACCGCAUACGAUCUAUGGAUGAAAGCGGGGGACCGUAAGGCCUCGCGCGAUUGGAGCGGCCGAUGUCAGAUUAGGUAGUUGGUGGGGUAAAGGCUCACCAAGCCAACGAUCUGUAGCUGGUCUGAGAGGACGACCAGCCACACUGGGACUGAGACACGGCCCAGACUCCUACGGGAGGCAGCAGUGGGGAAUUUUGGACAAUGGGCGCAAGCCUGAUCCAGCAAUGCCGCGUGCAGGAAGAAGGCCUUCGGGUUGUAAACUGCUUUUGUACGGAACGAAACGGCUCUGGUUAAUACCCGGGGCUAAUGACGGUACCGUAAGAAUAAGCACCGGCUAACUACGUG
This 482-nucleotide ribosomal RNA is filed under the name uncultured bacterium. Its description in RNAcentral is "partial 16S ribosomal RNA". It matches the Rfam family "Bacterial small subunit ribosomal RNA", at positions 30 to 507 of the family's 1533-position model. The record is from RNAcentral.